Molecule: unclassified non-coding RNA, 244 nt
Filed under: uncultured Bordetella sp.
Lineage: Bacteria; Pseudomonadati; Pseudomonadota; Betaproteobacteria; Burkholderiales; Alcaligenaceae
Description: partial 16S-23S ribosomal RNA intergenic spacer
Rfam family: Bacterial small subunit ribosomal RNA
Source: RNAcentral
GGUUUGAUUCUGGCUCAGAUUGAACGCUGGCGGGAUGCUUUACACAUGCAAGUCGAACUGGCCCGGACUUCGGUCUGGUGGCGAGUGGCGAACAGGUGAGUAAUGUAUCGGAACGUGCCUAGUAGCGGGGGAUAACUACACUUGAAAGCGUAAGCUAAUACACAUACGCCCGCUUCCGGGAAAGCAGGGGACAGCCGGGCCUCGCACUGGCCAAACGGCCGAUAUCGGAUUAGCUAGUUGGUGG